This 640-nucleotide ribosomal RNA is filed under the name uncultured bacterium. RNAcentral's name for it is "bacterial SSU rRNA". It matches the Rfam family "Bacterial small subunit ribosomal RNA", at positions 59 to 702 of the family's 1533-position model. The record is from RNAcentral.
AAUUGAGGGGGAUGCGGGAACUUUUCCUUGUAUUAAGCGGGGACGGGUGGAUUAACCUUAGAAUUCCCCUGGUAUGGGGGACAAUGUUUGAAAGGACCGUUAAUCCCCAUAGUCCUUAGGGAGAAAGCAGGGGCCUUUGGGCCUUGGCGUAUCAGGUGAGCCUAGGUCGGAUUAGCUAGUUGGUGGGGUAAUGGUUCACCAAGGGGACGAUCCGUAACUGGUCUGAGAAGAUGUUCAGUCACACUGGAACUGAGACCCGGUCCAGAUUCUUACGGGAGGCAGCAGUGGGGAAUAUUGGCCAAUGGGCGAAAGCCUGAUCCAGCCAUGCCGCGUGGUGGAAGAAGGUCUUCGGAUUGUAAAGCACUUUAAGUUGGGAGGAAGGGCAGUAAGUUAAUACCUUGCUGUUUUGACGUUACCGACAGAAUAAGCACCGGCUAACUCUGUGCCAGCAGCCGCGGUAAUACAGAGGGUGCAAGCGUUAAUCGGAAUUACUGNGCGUAAAGCGCGCGUAGGUGGUUUGUUAAGUUGGAUGUGAAAGCCCCGGGCUCAACCUGGGAACUGCAUCCAAAACUGGCAAGCUAGAGUACGGUAGAGGGUGGUGGAAUUUCCUGUGUAGCGGUGAAAUGCGUAGAUAUAGGAA